RNAcentral lists this microRNA (22 nucleotides) under Anolis carolinensis (green anole). Its description in RNAcentral is "Aca-Mir-196-P1_3p* (star (passenger))". The record is from RNAcentral. Lineage: Eukaryota; Metazoa; Chordata; Lepidosauria; Squamata; Anolidae.
CGACAGCACGAAACUGCCUUCA